Molecule: ribosomal RNA, 557 nt
Filed under: Vibrio diazotrophicus
Lineage: Bacteria; Pseudomonadati; Pseudomonadota; Gammaproteobacteria; Vibrionales; Vibrionaceae
Description: bacterial SSU rRNA
Rfam family: Bacterial small subunit ribosomal RNA
Source: RNAcentral
UUUCGGAGCUAACGCGUUUAAGUUAGACCCGCUUGGGGGAGUUACGGGUCGCCAAGAUUAAAACUCAAAUGAAAUUGACGGGGGCCCGCACAAAGCGGUGGAGCAUGUGGUUUUAAUUCGAUGCAACGCGAAGAACCUUACCUACUCUUGACAUCCACAGAAUCCUGCGGAGACGCGGGAGUGCCUUCGGGAACUUUAAGACAGGUGCUGCAUGGCUGUCGUCAGCUCGUGUUGUGAAAUGUUGGGUUAAGUCCCGCAACGAGCGCAACCCUUAUCCUUGUUUGCCAGCGAGUAAUGUCGGGAACUCCAGGGAGACUGCCGGUGAUAAACCGGAGGAAGGUGGGGACGACGUCAAGUCAUCAUGGCCCUUACGAGUAGGGCUACACACGUGCUACAAUGGCGCAUACAGAGGGCAGCGAACUUGCGAGAGUAAGCGAAUCCCAAAAAGUGCGUCGUAGUCCGGAUUGGAGUCUGCAACUCGACUCCAUGAAGUCGGAAUCGCUAGUAAUCGUGAAUCAGAAUGUCACGGUGAAUACGUUCCCGGGCCUUGUACACAC